RNAcentral lists this long non-coding RNA (245 nucleotides) under Medicago truncatula (barrel medic). RNAcentral's name for it is "long non-coding RNA (MTRU_LNC004932)". The record is from RNAcentral. Lineage: Eukaryota; Viridiplantae; Streptophyta; Magnoliopsida; Fabales; Fabaceae.
GGUGGUGUUACGAAAAGUAACACAGGUGGGAAACAAGAUUCACACCUCCUAACCCUCAAAGCUCUGGAAAGUUUGGGUAAAAAAAGCAAAAAAUCCAAACCUUCAUCUUCAAUAACAAAUCCUUCCAUGUGUACGAUUCUUUUCCUCUUCCAACGGAGCUCGUUUCAAAUCCGCCAUCAAUAAAUCCAACAGCUUCGCCGCCGUCAACAAAUACAACAGCUUCGUCGCCGUCGUGAUGCUCUUAA